RNAcentral lists this ribosomal RNA (1480 nucleotides) under metagenome. RNAcentral describes it as "bacterial SSU rRNA". It matches the Rfam family "Bacterial small subunit ribosomal RNA". The record is from RNAcentral.
AGAGUUUGAUCCUGGCUCAGGAUGAACGCUAGCGGCAGGCCUAACACAUGCAAGUCGAACGGUAAGGACCACUUCGGUGGUUACACGAGUGGCGCACGGGUGAGUAACGCGUAUGCAACCUACCCUUAACAGGGGGAUAGCCCGAAGAAAUUCGGAUUAAUACCCCAUAAUACUAUAGAUAAGCAUUUAUUUAUAGUAAAAACUCCGGUGGUUAAGGAUGGGCAUGCGUACCAUUAGAUAGUUGGUAAGGUAACGGCUUACCAAGUCUACGAUGGUUAGGGGGCCUGAGAGGGUGGUCCCCCACACUGGUACUGAGACACGGACCAGACUCCUACGGGAGGCAGCAGUGAGGAAUAUUGCGCAAUGGACGAAAGUCUGACGCAGCCAUGCCGCGUGCAGGAUGACGGCCCUACGGGUUGUAAACUGCUUUUAUACAGGAAGAAAACUUUCAACGUGUUGAGAGUUGACGGUACAGUAGGAAUAGCAUCGGCUAACUCCGUGCCAGCAGCCGCGGUAAUACGGAGGAUGCAAGCGUUAUCCGGAUUUAUUGGGUUUAAAGGGUGCGUAGGCGGAAUAAUAAGUCAGUGGUGAAAUCCUGCAGCUUAACUGUAGAACUGCCAUUGAUACUGUUAUUCUUGAAUAUAGUUGAGGUAGGCGGAAUGUGUAAUGUAGCGGUGAAAUGCAUAGAUAUUACACAGAACACCGAUUGCGUAGGCAGCUUACUAAGCUAUUAUUGACGCUGAGGCACGAAAGCGUGGGGAUCGAACAGGAUUAGAUACCCUGGUAGUCCACGCUGUAAACGAUGAUCACUAGCUGUUGGCGAUACACCGAUCAGCGGCAAAGCGAAAGCAUUAAGUGAUCCACCUGGGGAGUACGGUCGCAAGAUUGAAACUCAAAGGAAUUGACGGGGGCCCGCACAAGCGGAGGAACAUGUGGUUUAAUUCGAUGAUACGCGAGGAACCUUACCUGGGCUUAAAUGCAGGACGACGAACUGGGAAACCAGUUUUCUCUUCGGAGCGGACCGCAAGGUGCUGCAUGGUUGUCGUCAGCUCGUGCCGUGAGGUGUCGGGUUAAGUCCCAUAACGAGCGCGACCCCUAUCGUUAGUUGCCAGCGGAUCAUGCCGGGGACUCUAACGAAACUGCCGGUGUAAACCGAGAGGAAGGUGGGGAUGACGUCAAAUCAGCACGGCCCUUGUGUCCAGGGCUACACACGUGUUACAAUGGUCGGUACAGAGGGCAGCUACUAUGUAAAUAGAUGCCAAUCUCGAAAACCGGUCUUAGUUCGGAUCGAAGUCUGCAACUCGACUUCGUGAAGCUGGAUUCGCUAGUAAUCGCGCAUCAGCCACGGCGCGGUGAAUACGUUCCCGGGCCUUGUACACACCGCCCGUCAAGCCAUGGAAGCUGGGGGUACCUGAAGUCUGUAACCGCAAGGAGCGGCCUAGGGUAAAACUAGUGACUGGGGCUAAGUCGUAACAAGGUA